RNAcentral lists this transfer RNA (75 nucleotides) under Microbacterium luteolum. Its description in RNAcentral is "tRNA-Thr". It matches the Rfam family "tRNA". From Rfam's summary of the family: Transfer RNA (tRNA) molecules are approximately 80 nucleotides in length. Their secondary structure includes four short double-helical elements and three loops (D, anti-codon, and T loops). Further hydrogen bonds mediate the characteristic L-shaped molecular structure. tRNAs have two regions of fundamental functional importance: the anti-codon, which is responsible for specific mRNA codon recognition, and the 3' end, to which the tRNAs corresponding amino acid is attached (by aminoacyl-tRNA synthetases). tRNAs cope with the degeneracy of the genetic code in two manners: having more than one tRNA (with a specific anti-codon) for a particular amino acid; and 'wobble' base-pairing, i.e. permitting non-standard base-pairing at the 3rd anti-codon position. The record is from RNAcentral. Lineage: Bacteria; Bacillati; Actinomycetota; Actinomycetes; Micrococcales; Microbacteriaceae. RNAcentral also lists the same sequence under 1 other name.
GCCGCCUUAGCUCAGUCGGCAGAGCAUCUCACUCGUAAUGAGAAGGUCGUCAGUUCGAUUCUGACAGGCGGCUCC